Molecule: small nuclear RNA, 19 nt
Filed under: Arabidopsis thaliana (thale cress)
Lineage: Eukaryota; Viridiplantae; Streptophyta; Magnoliopsida; Brassicales; Brassicaceae
Description: snRNA_16746
Source: RNAcentral
AAGAGUGCUUGAAAUUGUC